This 497-nucleotide ribosomal RNA is filed under the name uncultured bacterium. Its description in RNAcentral is "partial 16S ribosomal RNA". It matches the Rfam family "Bacterial small subunit ribosomal RNA", at positions 28 to 507 of the family's 1533-position model. The record is from RNAcentral.
GACGAACGCUGGCGGCGUGCCUAAUACAUGCAAGUUGAGCGAUGAAGAUUGGUGCUUGCACCAAUUUGAAGAGCAGCGAACGGGUGAGUAACGCGUGGGGAAUCUGCCUUUGAGCGGGGGACAACAUUUGGAAACGAAUGCUAAUACCGCAUAACAACUUUAAACAUAAGUUUUAAGUUUGAAAGAUGCAAUUGCAUCACUCAAAGAUGAUCCCGCGUUGUAUUAGCUAGUUGGUGAGGUAAAGGCUCACCAAGGCGAUGAUACAUAGCCGACCUGAGAGGGGGAUCGGCCACAUUGGGACUGGGACACGGCCCAAACUCCUACGGGAGGCAGCAGUAGGGAAUCUUCGGCAAUGGACGAAAGUCUGACCGAGCAACGCCGCGUGAGUGAAGAAGGUUAUCGGAUCGUAAAACUCUGUUGGUAGAGAAGAACGUUGGUGAGAGUGGAAAGCUCAUCAAGUGACGGUAACUACCCAGAAAGGGACGGCUAACUACGUG